Molecule: long non-coding RNA, 2524 nt
Organism: Salvia miltiorrhiza (redroot sage)
Lineage: Eukaryota; Viridiplantae; Streptophyta; Magnoliopsida; Lamiales; Lamiaceae
Exons: 3
Source: RefSeq, a predicted model, not a curated record
AUUGCGGCAUCAGAAUUCGGCAAUUUUACGUGAUCGAAUGUUCGGCAACACAUACAAAUGUACAUUUUGGGCGCCAUUUUAGAAAUCAGAUUUCAUAUUUGUGUAUUUUUCGUCGAUCCCUCUUUCAUCUCGCAUCUCUCUCACCAUGCGACCGAAAAUCCUCUGCCGCCCCACUCCACCGCUCCCACCGCUCUCCUUCACCACCGGUCCACCACCAUCGCCUAGGCCGGCCCUGCUUAUCUCUUUAUUAUUAAUUUUAUAUUUGCUCUUUCUCUUUCUCUCACUUAAUUUCUCGUCUCUCUCUCUCACAGUGGUUGCCGCGUUCCACCUCUGCUCCAUCACUGCCUGAACACCUUUGGCGGUGAAGUCUCUCAUUCGUCGUCGCCGUCGCCAUCCCCUACUCGAUUUCAGCUGUUGCCGCGUUCCACCACCUCCGCUCCACCACCGCCUAAACACCUUUGACGGUGAAGUCUCUCAUUCGCCAUCGCCAUCCCUUACUCGAUUUCAGAUAAGCUUUGUCAAAAUUUCCAUUGCUAAUUAAUUUGUCCGAAUUUCUUUGUUGUCUUUCUUUUUCUGCUUGGUUUUGAGUUUCUAUGGUUCAGCUUGAGCUUUACUCAUUAAGAUCUGAUUUCUAGAAUAAUAAACCAAAUCUUUGAAUUAAUUUAAGUCAUUGGUGAUUCUCUAUUUAGUUAAAUUUCUUCCUCAAGCUACAUUUCACUCAUUUUCAUAUACGAAUUGGAUCUAUUUUAUGUUGCUUUUCUUAUUACAUUGUGGAGACUGGAGAAUCUGGGGUAGUUGGUGACUUGGUGUAUAUAAUUUGGAAAUGUAAGAUCAUGAAUGUAUAUAUGUUGUCUUAGGGGGCAUUCGAUUGGCUGUGUUAUGCAACAGAUAAAACUAACCGCCAACAUUUGAAAUAUUAGAUCGUAACCGCCCCAAAAUAUAAAUAAUCUUAGCCAGAAUUCAUGCAAAUCCAUACCCACUUUUGCCCGAGUCACCUUCCUUUUAGACCCCUUUCAUUGCCCUAUCCAAAUAUUCUACUGCUUAUCUCCAAUCAAUCUCCUUUAAACAUCCAUUAGUACUAGAAACAUUUCAUGUAGUUGGCAAGUUGGACACUUGGACUUGAAGAGAAUCUAUCAUAUUAAUUAGAAUAAUAUAGUCACAUAUGUUGAAGUGUAAGAAUUCCCUACAAUUGUUGGACAGAUUGAACUAAAUAGCUGGAAUAUACUAAAAAGUUGCCUUCCCAUAUCUACUGACUACAAAACAUAGGAAAUGCUUCAGCCCUCUCCCUGUCCUUCUUUUCCAAUCACUCUAUUCCUGAUAGCUCAGAAUUUUGGUAUUAGGCGCUUUAAGUUAUAGUGUAAUUUAAUAAUUUAAACUAUGCAAACAAAUUAUAUGUUCCGCAGCAUGUUUCUGAACCUUUCCUUAUAUACUACAUCAUCUAAAUAUACUUGUGCCUUUUGAUAUAGUUUAAUUUGUAUAAUGUGAAUUGCUUGAUGUGGUUUCUCUUUGUUGUUAUACUCCAUUUUUAGGUUGCAAACUACGGUGAAGGACUUUGUUUGGUGUUGCUUUACUCGUGAAAAAAGAGAAUGAUAAGUGAGAAACAAAAAGAGGUGGAAAUGGUGGUGAUUCAAAUAAGAUAGAAUUAUAUAUUCUAUUGUAGCUGUUAAGUCUCUAUUUUUUCAUAUGAAAACUGUUGGUUUUUACUUAAGUUAGUGUAGCAUGUCAGCUCUAUGUUAUUGAAACUCACUCUAAUUAGAAAAUUCAUACAUUUACACUAUAAUAUGUGUAGUUGAAUGCCAUAAUUUAUCUUAUCAUGAUAAAUCAACCAAAGAUAAAUGUUUUUUAUUUUAUUGCAAAUGAUUAUUAUGCAGUUUUGGGUCUGGUAAUAAUAAAAAUCUCGAAUUCAAAUUUAUUUUGUUAAUCUUGAUGUAUUAGGAUUUCCCAAUUUGUCUGUAUUUUUUUGUGUCUUCUAUUAUGCUGUCAUAAAAAAAAUUAUAAAAAAAUUGAGACGUAUGGGUUAGUCUACUUUCAAGAAAUUGUGCUUGCUUUAGGCUCUUUUGUUAUCAUGCAGUUUCCUUUCAUUUUUAGUGACAAGAGAGUACAUCAUUGGCCGUUGGAUUUGGCAAUAUGUAGGAAAUUAUUACUACUAUAGAACAAGGUAUGCAUUGAGGCUGUGAAUCACAAGCUGAGUCGAGGAGAUGAGAACGCCAUGGGAGCCGAGGAGACGUUGGUGGACCGGACGAAACCAUUCCUCACAGACGUCCACAGCUGCUCCCAGAAUCUGACCUCGAGCUGUGAAUCAUAAGUUGAGUCCUCAUAGGCAUUGAGGCAGUCGAGGUAGAGUAGGAGAUGCAUUUAUAUUGAUGUAUUUGGAAAUAUGUUGGGAGAUGCAAUUUUUGUUGUGUAUUUAGAAAUAUGGUGGAAAUACAAGUGAUGGUGUAAAUACAAUGAGGAGAACUGCCUUUUUUAUGUUGUGUACCUCUUGUUACUACAUACGAAAUGAAAGAGAUCAUUACAAUUUAAA